This 253-nucleotide ribosomal RNA is filed under the name uncultured bacterium. RNAcentral's name for it is "partial 16S ribosomal RNA". It matches the Rfam family "Bacterial small subunit ribosomal RNA", at positions 524 to 776 of the family's 1533-position model. The record is from RNAcentral.
UACGUAGGGUGCGAGCGUUGUCCGGAAUUAUUGGGCGUAAAGGGCUCGUAGGCGGUUUGUUGCGUCGGGAGUGAAAACACUGGGCUUAACCGAGUGCUUGCUUUCGAUACGGGCAGACUUGAGGCAUUGAGGGGAGAACGGAAUUCCUGGUGUAGCGGUGAAAUGCGCAGAUAUCAGGAGGAACACCGGUGGCGAAGGCGGUUCUCUGGCAAUGUUCUGACGCUGAGGAGCGAAAGUGUGGGGAGCGAACAGG